CAAGUCGAACGCGAAAGUUCCCUUCGGGGAGCGAGUAGAGUGGCGCACGGGUGAGUAACACGUGGGUAAUCUACCUUUGGAUGGGGAAUAACAACCGGAAACGGUUGCUAAUACCGCAUAAUGCAGCGGCACCUAAUGGUGACAGUUGUUAAAGCGGGGGAUCGCAAGACCUCGCGUCUAAAGAGGAGCCCGCGGCGGAUUAGCUAGUUGGUAAGGUAACGGCUUACCAAGGCGAUGAUCCGUAGCCGGCCUGAAAGGGCGGUCGGCCACACUGACACUGACAUACGGGUCAGACUCCUACGGGAGGCAGCAGUCGGGAAUUUUGGGCAAUGGGCGAAAGCCUGACCCAGCAACGCCGCGUGAAGGAUGAAAUCCUUCGGGAUGUAAACUUCGCAAGAACAGGAAGAAUAAGCCGGUGUAAAUACCGCCGGCGAUGACGGUACUGUUUGUAAGCUCCGGCUAACUCCGUGCCAGCAGCCGCGGUAAUACGGGGGGAGCAAGCGUUGUUCGGAUUUACUGGGCGUAAAGGGCGCGUAGGCGGCCUCUGCAAGUCGACUGUGAAAUCUCCGGGCUUAACCCGGAAAGGUCAGCCGAUACUGCAGGGCUAGAGUGCAGAAGGGGCAACUGGAAUUCUCGGUGUAGCGGUGAAAUGCGUAGAUAUCGAGAGGAACACCUGCGGCGAAGGCGGGUUGCUGGGCUGACACUGACGCUGACAGCGCGAAAGCUAGGGGAGCGAACGGGAUUAGAUACCCCGGUAGUCCUAGCCUUAAACGAUGAAUGCUUGGUGUCUGGGGUUUUAUAGUCCCCGGGUGCCGUCGCUAACGCUUUAAGCAUUCCGCCUGGGGAGUACGGUCGCAAGACUGAAACUCAAAGGAAUUGACGGG
Molecule: ribosomal RNA, 884 nt
Filed under: uncultured Bacillota bacterium
Lineage: Bacteria; Bacillati; Bacillota
Description: bacterial SSU rRNA
Rfam family: Bacterial small subunit ribosomal RNA
Source: RNAcentral